UGUAGGAUUUUUUUUCAAAUGAUAGCUUCUGCCAAUGAAAAGAAAGGUGCCUGGCAAUUGAGUGUGGAAUGGGUUAAUAGGGGUUUUGGUAGAGAAAAUGAUUAUGAUGAUUUUUUUUAUUUUUUUUACUUUUAUUUUAUUUUUGUUGUUUGUUUGUUUUUUUUUUUUUUUUUUUUUUUUUUUUUUUUUUUUUUUUUUUUUGUUGUUUUU
Molecule: long non-coding RNA, 210 nt
Filed under: Coffea arabica (coffee)
Lineage: Eukaryota; Viridiplantae; Streptophyta; Magnoliopsida; Gentianales; Rubiaceae
Description: long non-coding RNA (CARA_LNC008411)
Source: RNAcentral